Molecule: long non-coding RNA, 742 nt
Organism: Apodemus sylvaticus (European woodmouse)
Lineage: Eukaryota; Metazoa; Chordata; Mammalia; Rodentia; Muridae
Exons: 2
Source: RefSeq, a predicted model, not a curated record
CGGGGACCUGCCAGGCAGCAGCCUGGGCACCCGAGCCUUCCCUCCUUCUUCCUGCCAGCGUCCAGAUCUCUUCUGAAGCUUUGGUACCUCACCAUCCCAGAGCCUCCUCCCCAACAACCCUCUUCACUGAUCUCUGGGGCUAGUCGCCCCGGACUAGGAAACUUGGGCCCAAAUUUCCUCCUAAGAGGUCUAGAAAUCCCCGGGCUGUGUGUCAAUCCUUGGACGGUGAGAAAACUGAGGCUCAGAGCAGAGGAAUGACUGAAGCCAGGUGAUCUAUGCUGCAGAAGGGAGAUAGCGAGUCCUCCUGCUCGCCAGUCCAGGAUAAAGGCUGUGCAAACAAUGAGCGGACAGCCGGGCCAGGGGUCAUGUCUUCCCAGCGCUCUGCUUCAGUGCUGGGCUUGGGGAAACAGUCUCACGUGUAAGGAAAACAGAGAUUAUAAAGGCCAGAAUGCGACUGGAACAUAGCAAUACAUGCCUGUGAUCCCAGCACUUGAGAGGUGGAGACAGGAAAUUCGGAAGUUCAAAGCCAUCUUCAACCACACAAGUGCAAGAGCAGCCUGGGCCACGUGAGACUUCAUCAGGAAAACAAAAUGGGGCCGUUGAGAUGGCGCAUCUGGAAAAGGCUCUUGCCAGCAAUCCCAACAACCUGAGUUCAGUCCCCAGGACCCCCAUGUUGGAGGAGAGAACUGACUCCAAAUAAAAUUGGAGUCCUCCAAAUAUAAUUACUUUCAUUGCUACUUCA